This 254-nucleotide ribosomal RNA is filed under the name uncultured bacterium. RNAcentral describes it as "partial 16S ribosomal RNA". It matches the Rfam family "Bacterial small subunit ribosomal RNA", at positions 524 to 777 of the family's 1533-position model. The record is from RNAcentral.
UACGAAGGGGGCUAGCGUUGUUCGGAAUUACUGGGCGUAAAGCGCACGUAGGCGGAAUGUUAAGUCAGGGGUGAAAUCCCGGGGCUCAACCCCGGAACUGCCUUUGAUACUGGCAUUCUCGAGUCCGGAAGAGGUGAGUGGAAUUCCGAGUGUAGAGGUGAAAUUCGUAGAUAUUCGGAGGAACACCAGUGGCGAAGGCGACUCACUGGACACGUAUUGACGCUGAGGUGCGAAAGCGUGGGGAGCAAACAGGG